AACCCUGAGCGUGCUUUCGAUACGGGUUGACUUGAGGAAGGUAGGGGAGAAUGGAAUUCCCUGGUGGAGCGGUGGAAUGCGCAGAUAUCAGGAGGAACACCAGUGGCGAAGGCGGUUCUCUGGGCCUUUCCUGACGCUGAGGAGCGAAAGCGUGGGGAGCGAACAGGCUUAGAUACCCUGGUAGUCCACGCUGUAAACGGUGGGUACUAGGUGUGGGGUCCAUUCCACGGGUUCCGCGCCGUAGCUAACGCUUUAAGUACCCCGCCAGGGGAGUACGGCCGCAAGGCUAAAACUCAAAUGAAUUGACGGA
This 310-nucleotide ribosomal RNA is filed under the name uncultured bacterium. RNAcentral's name for it is "bacterial SSU rRNA". It matches the Rfam family "Bacterial small subunit ribosomal RNA", at positions 611 to 917 of the family's 1533-position model. The record is from RNAcentral.